RNAcentral lists this ribosomal RNA (390 nucleotides) under Triticum aestivum (bread wheat). RNAcentral describes it as "partial small subunit ribosomal RNA". Lineage: Eukaryota; Viridiplantae; Streptophyta; Magnoliopsida; Poales; Poaceae. The record is from RNAcentral.
AUGUCAUCAUGUGCAUUUCAUCUGCAUACGUGUUCGUCUCAUGCAUCCGAGCAUUUUCCCCGUUAUCCGUUUUGCAUUCCGGCGCUUCGUUCUCCUCCGGUGGUAAUUUCUACCUUUCUUUCAUGUGUGGGCAUUAAACAUUUCCGGAUUGGACCGAGAUUUGUCAUGCAGCCUUGGUUUACUACCGGUAGACCGCUUGUAAAGUUUCGUAUCAUUUGGACUUCGUUUGAUACUCCAACGGUUAACCGAGGGACCGAGAAGGACUCGUGUGUGUUGCAGCCCAACACCCCUCCAAUUUGGCCCAAAAACCCACCUUACUCUGCUCCAUCAUCUAGAGCGUUUGAUCACGAUCGCGUGGCCGCAAACCACACCUCAUUUGGACUCUCCUAG